AUACCUUUCUCGGCCUUUUGGCUAAGAUCAAGUGUAGUAUCUGUUCUUAUCAGUUUAAUAUCUGAUACGUGAGCUCAAGGAGCUCACAAUGAUAUUAAAUUAAUUUUUUUCAGGGGGAGUAGUGCCCACCCACAGUAGCUUGCUGCUGGGGCUCUUGAGCGUUGCCUUGGCCUUGCAGUACUGCCUUGGCUUGGCGUACCCCAC
This is a small nuclear RNA of Camellia sinensis, 204 nucleotides long. RefSeq annotates it as U2 spliceosomal RNA. The record is from RefSeq and is a predicted model, not a curated record. NCBI's taxonomy places the organism in Eukaryota, Viridiplantae, Streptophyta, Magnoliopsida, Ericales, Theaceae.